Molecule: long non-coding RNA, 1957 nt
Organism: Zea mays
Lineage: Eukaryota; Viridiplantae; Streptophyta; Magnoliopsida; Poales; Poaceae
Exons: 7
Source: RefSeq, a predicted model, not a curated record
GCACUGUUAAACCCGAAGUUCGCUGUAAAAAUUCGGGUACCGGGAGGCUCUAUCCAAAUAGUUUUUUUUUUUGGCUUUUCGGGUUUAGAUUCGGGUUUUCGGGUUCGGGAUUAGGGUAACGGGUUUUCUAUCUAGCCCUAGGUGCCAAGCCAAUGCGCAACAGUGCACUGGCGUUGGACACAAACCUAUACAGCGUCCGCCGCCCACCGCCUACACGGCUACACCUUCCUCUCUCCGGCGACCUCCCGAAACAGAACUGACUCGCAUGGUCUUCGCUCCGUCGCGAGGCCCACGUUAGCGGAGCCUCCCACUCUCUGGCUCAACUGCCUACGUCUGGACCAGAUCCUCCAUGAGCUCGCGGGAGUGCAUUGGUGGCGCGACGCGACCAACGUCGUCUCGACCCUCCUUAGCGGCAACCGAAGACCUGAAUCCUACAAAGGCACAUGCAUGUGGUGGCCAGGAGGAGGCUCAGAUCUGGAAUCCAGUCCGAAUGUUCCUGACAAGCCAACUGCAACAACGAUUAUUGCUUCAAUUUUAGCGAUCUAUUUUUUCUAACUUGCAAACCAACAUGCUCAAAAUUGCAGUCAAAUUAGCAAUGUUGUCAGAUACCAAUCCUCCAACUCUGAAAUUCGUGAGGUUGCUGCAACGACCAGACUGAACAUUAUUCAUUUUGUUUAAAAGUAUGUACUACAAGAGAAUAAUCGGUUGUCAUAUGAAUGUCAUAAACAGGGUAUGUGCUUCUAACACUUGCAUAUUUGGAUGGAUGAUGUUUAUGGACGGAUAGAGAUGUUCCCCUAAUACUUUGUACCGUCAAAAGAUGCUAUGGACACUAUAAUGGUCUAUUAACAAGUUAAUACAUGAUUUGCCUACUGUCAGCCUUCUAUGGUAGGGCCUAAAAGCUGGGAACAAAAAACAAAAGUAUGAAAAGAUCAACGAAAGGAAAAUUGCUACUUCAACUGAGGCUCUCUGCCAUGGAUAUCCUACCGAAUUUGCUUCUUACUUCCAUUAUUGUCGCUCACUGCGUUUCGAAGAUGCACCGGACUAUCAGUACCUGAAGAGACUGUUCAGAGACCUUUUUAUUCGGGAAGUCGAGGAUUCCAGUGUUGACGUAUCAGCAGCGACAGAAAAUUUCCAGAGCUUAAGCCUACAUAAUGAUGAGUUAGCUGCAAAAAAGACUGCUGAAGAUAACCCUGUAGUGUUAAUUCCUGGUCAUUUGCAAGUUACCAAUACAGAAUGUGUUAGUUUGAGCUUUGGCAGUUUUGGAUCUGGUGCAUUUUCUAGGCUACUCCCACAAAAGACCACUGAUAGCAAUGUGGAAUUCCUUGUUUGAGAGGAUUCUGCAACAGUAGAUCCAAUAGAUGCCAGGAAUCAAGAUUACUAUGAAAGUGGUGCAAUAACUUCACCAGCAGAAGAAAAUCUUGAGGCCAUGCUAGGAACUAACAUGGAGAAGUCGAUGCACCUUCUGUUUCACAGGCUAAUGAGCUCAGUCAGGACGUACUUGAUCCUUUUGUACUUAAAUAUGACGUGCCAUCAGUUUCAAGUCAUGCUUAUUCAAACAUGAACACUCCACAACCUAGCACAAUAGAGGACCCACAAGGAAACAACCAAGCACAUACUCUUUCCCAUUUGUCUAACAUGAUGGAUUAUGGCUCUCAUCAAGUGACUCCUCCCCCUCACGAUGACUUUGCGGACAGAUGUCUCAAUUCUAGUGGUGCAGCUACGAACAACAAUCUGAUGUCCUGAUCGAGAGCGAUGGAGCUAAUGUUCAAACUUGUGUGUUUGAACUUGUGAACUAAAAAUGUGAACUGUGGAUGUGAACUUAUGUGAAUUUGUGAACUUAUGUAUUUGGACUUGUGUGAAAUUGUGAUAUGAACAUAUAUCCAUGUGUUUGAAAUCUGUAUUGUAUGUGAUAUUCUGUGUUGCAUGUGAUUUUAUGUUUGUCUAAUUUUUCAUUUCU